GCCGGGGUGGCGGAAUUGGUAGACGCACCGGACUCAAAAUCCGGCGUCGGAGACGACGUGCGGGUUCGAGACCCGCCCCCGGCA
RNAcentral lists this transfer RNA (84 nucleotides) under Gaiellales bacterium. RNAcentral's name for it is "tRNA-Leu". It matches the Rfam family "tRNA". Rfam says of the family: Transfer RNA (tRNA) molecules are approximately 80 nucleotides in length. Their secondary structure includes four short double-helical elements and three loops (D, anti-codon, and T loops). Lineage: Bacteria; Bacillati; Actinomycetota; Thermoleophilia; Gaiellales. The record is from RNAcentral. RNAcentral also lists the same sequence under 1 other name.